AAGUAAUUUAAAGAAGGGAAAAAAAAUUACAUUCAGUGGUUAACACCAUCCACUUGAUCUAUGUAUGCAAAGGAGUUAAUAGUUAAUUACAUAUUGGACAUUCCAUACGUAAGCUAAUACCAGCAAAUUACAUUUGACAUCUAAGAACAUAGCUCAGACGAGGAUCAAAAUAGUAGGAGUUGUAUGUGCCUUAGAUUAGAAUAGGGCAGCAACUUCAGAUAACAAACAAAUAUAAAACACAAAUGAAUCAACCAUCAUUGCUUGUAGUAAUCAAGAAGACUAGACUUAUCAUCAAGUGACCUUGAGAAAAAUUUGGAACGAUAUUCACCGAACACGACUUCUCUAUACCUUGCAGGGUUAUUCUCUGAUGUUAACUCCUUAAUUGGGCUGUACGUCAUGUAUAUACUUCCGGUGAAAAAGCAUGCCACAGAAAUCCUUGGACCUUCAUGGUUGGCAAUUACUCUGUGCUCUACGCUUUUAAGUCUGUCAAUUGAUAUAAGCUGCCACGAUGACAGGCAUAUUAGAAGAAAAUCAUAAUACAAAGAUAACAAGGGAUUGCAUAUAAAAAAAAAAUGACAUGGGGUUUAAACUUUAAACACCUAACGCUAACCAGAAGGUCUCCAAUGUUUAUUACCAAGGCUCCUGGAAUGGGGCGUAUAUUAACCCAUUCACCUUCAUGAAGGACUUGGAGGCUACAGAUUUGGCUUUGCAGAAGUAUAGUUAGGGUUCCCGGAUCCGAGUGUUUGCUUGCUCCUAAAGUCAGCUGUGGCUCUGGACAUGCCGGAUAAUAGUGGCAGACAAGGGUGUACCCUUCACCACAUCCUAAUGUUUUCAAGUGGUCCGCUUUUAGGCCAAGUGCCUCCGAUAGUAACUCAAACAAAUGGUCCCCCAAUUUUAUGAUAUGUUUAAUAUACUCCUGUGUUGCCCUUCUGUGAAUAUAAGCCAAUAUAUAAGAAAAUCAGCCGAUGAGUCUUUGUUGAACAAAGAAUGAUGAAUCAUUGUCAUCAAAUUCUCAAAAUGUUUUAAGAAAGAAACCUGGCCUGAAAAUCUUUAUGUAAACUUUAGGGACAGGCUUGCAAUAACUAAACAUGUUGGCAUCUAAUGUUACAUCAACAUAACAAGCAAAUAUUACUAGAGGUAUUAAAAAUUAAGCAAUUGGUUAAUAAGGAUCUUUUCAACUAAAUCAGUGCUAUGGCAGAUAAAAAAAUAAAUCAAGGGGUUAUGUACCUGCAACAAACUGGCAGUUCUUCAGGGUCAAGAUGAUCAGGCAAAGAAAUGGUCAAUGUGUCCCUCCAAUUAGCAAAUCUUGAUUUAUACAGAUCAUAAUUGGAGUUGAAUCUCACCUUUUGCAUAUGAUUGCGAGAGUAAAACAACUUCUUCACCUCGAGGUCUUCUUCAUUAAACAGGCAUACUCCAUCAAUCAUCUCAUUAAGAACACCUGAAGGAAUUCCAUGAUUAACCACUUGGAAAAAGCCCCAAUUCUCUGAUGCAAAUCUUACUUCCUCUACGAUCUCCUUACACAUAUUGCCCUUCUGGAUGUCACUUAAAUCAAUGACAGGAACUUCAAUAUCAGUCUGCUUGAAUUUCAACUCCUCAGCAAGCUCAUCAGGUGGUCGCAUAAAUAUUUUAGGGAUACUAAUGAGGUUGGCAUCUACAAGUCCUUUGACACCAGCUUUCAUGUCAUCAAACUCCUUCAGUUCUUUCAUUCUUUCAGCAUCCAUUUUGGCUGAGAAAUCCCCAGUGCCUGUCAUACUCAUUUUCUAUUUCACAAUUUUUGCAAGAGAAGCGAGUCAAUAGAGCAGUAGUGAAAUUUGAGAUGAGUUAUGUAGCAUAAAGAGAAAUUUACAAUGACAAGAAAAAAAAAUCAAAUAAAUGUGAGUUCACCUUGAAUAACAAUCAAAAUAACUAAUAUAAUAUAAUCUACUAAAGUCAGUCUUAUGUAUGUGACUCAUCUUGAAGAGUAAAUAACAAUAUUUUAAGGUAUUAAACUAACUCACAAAUGCAUAGUGAAAUAAAAUUAGAAAAUUAGUUGCUGACCUAGCAGACACUAUAUUGCAGUGGCAUUAUACAUGGUCAACUGUGAUUCUUUCUUGCAGCCAGCACCAAAAUCAUCUUCAGGGAAGGUGCUACAUAUGGAUCUUACCAGGUAGGCACUCCAUAACCCUUGAGUUAUUAUUUAGUGAAGAAUUUUCAAAGGAAUUAACAGAUAACAAUGCCUAUAUAUGAAUAUGAUAAUUAAACCCUUAAAAAGUGAGAUGACAUGUCCUGGUCAAUGAAAAUAAAGCAUUGGCCUACAAACUGAAAGAUACAAGUAAUCCAUCUACAAAUAUGAGUCACAUUCAAUCUUAUUGAAAAUUUUUUCCAGAUAGGCUUGCAAAAAAUAUCCAAUGCUACUAAAGCCAUACAUAGAACCAAAUAUGGAAAGUUAUCGCCUAAUUUCUUCCUUUCAACAAUUUUCUCUCAUUCCAGGCUAUGCAUGUUCACCCUAAAGAGAUAAAAUUGGCCAACUCUUCUUGAAGGAUUGUAACAUAAGAAAAACCACAACCUCAAUUUUAGAAUAAAGAGGGGAAAAAAGGGAGAAAAUGCAACAGGUACAUCCUCAAGUAACAAAUCACGUGAACAAGACCUCGAGAUGAGAAAUUGACAUCUGCUAGAAUACCAAAUUGAUGUUCAUUUAGUAAAUAAUGCCACAAAUGACAUUUAAAAGUUUAAAUCAAACCCAUCAUUUGGACUCAUCCAUUCAUAUGCUGACAAAGACUGCGGAUGAGGCCAAUCUAACCUUGUAUCUAUAGCUAUCUUUGUAACUUGAAAUGUGUAAGAGCAGAAUUCCCAUCUAGUCCUUUUGAAUCAUAGUAAGCAAUAAAGUCUUUCACAGUGAUUUCACCAUAUAUGGGGGGAUUUUCGUCUGAUAGUAAUUCCUUGAUUGGGCCAUACAUCCUUGUUGAUGGGUAAAGAUGUGGAGUAAAAAAGCAGGCUAUGGAAACACGGGGGCCAAUACGAUUUGCCAAUACCCUGUGCUCUACACUCUUGAACUUGUCAUUUGAUAUAAGCUGUAAAAGAUCUCCAAUGUUUACCACAAGAGCUCCAUCCACAUGAGGAACAUCAAUCCAACGAUUCUGAUGAAAAAUUUGGAGUCCACCAAUGUGGUCUUGGAGUAGGAUAGUAAGGAAAUCAGGGUCAGAAUGUUUGGUGGUGCCCAUUGUCAACUCAGGCUCAGGGCAUGCCGGAUAGUAGUGACUCAGUAGAGCAUGCCCUUUUGCACAAUCCAACUCUUUGAGAUGGUUAGCCUUGAGCCCAAGUGCCUCAGAUAGUAAUUCAAACAAAACUGUGCCUAAUUUAUAAACUUGUUUUGAGUACUCCAUUAUAGUGUCUCUGCAAACCAAAGGCAACUCUUCUGGGUCAAGUGGCUCAGGUCCCAUGACACAAAACAAAGUAUCCCUCCAAUUAGCAUACUUUGACUCAUACAAAUCAAAAUUGCUCCCAUACUUCACCUUUCUCAUCAAUUCUCUGGUAUAGUACUUCUCCUUUACCUCCCCUGGCAUCUCGUGGAACCCACGUGCCGCCGCCAACAUCUCUUCCAGAACCCGAUUGUCCAUCCCAUGGUUCACCACCUGGAAGAACCCCACCUCCUCCGCGGCCCGCAGGAUUCCAUCCACCGCUUCAGUUUGCCUGCUCUCCAUGUUUUCAAGGUCGACAACAGGAACAAUAAAGUGGGUGUUGGUGUGCUCGUCUGAAAUGUAGUUGCCGGCAGCGACUUCCUCGGGUGGGCGGAUGAAAAUUCGUGGGACUUUAGUGAUGCCGGCAUCGACAAGACCUUUGACGCCAGAUUUUGACUCGUCGAAUGAUUUGAGUUCUUGAUAGCGGUCGUAGGUGAUGGAAGUUCCGGUGAAGGAAUCUCCGGUGAGCAACAUUUUAUUACCACUUUUUUUUUUAUUAUUCGUUAUUGUCAGGAGUUUGAACAGUAGCUUGUUAGGAAUUUCAGAG
Molecule: unclassified non-coding RNA, 3984 nt
Filed under: Hevea brasiliensis (rubber tree)
Lineage: Eukaryota; Viridiplantae; Streptophyta; Magnoliopsida; Malpighiales; Euphorbiaceae
Source: RNAcentral